RNAcentral lists this ribosomal RNA (240 nucleotides) under Triticum aestivum (bread wheat). Its description in RNAcentral is "partial small subunit ribosomal RNA". The record is from RNAcentral. Lineage: Eukaryota; Viridiplantae; Streptophyta; Magnoliopsida; Poales; Poaceae.
AUGUGCCUAGCUCGAAUCCAUUUGUCACUCAAGCGUCUUCCUUUCUACUUCAUAUAUGGUUCUGCUUCUAUCUUUGCCUGUAUUGCUGAAGAUAGAAUGGAUCUUCUUAGGGCUGCGAUUAUUGGCCCUAAGGGAACACCCUACCAUGAUGGCCUCUUCUUCUUUGAUGCACAUUUUACCUCUAAUUAUCCUUCUGAGCCUCCGGUAUAUAAGCUUCCGGCAUUUUUAUCAUUUUACUAA